AUUGAACGCUGGCGGCAGGCCUAACACAUGCAAGUCGAGCGGAGCGGCUGGCGGGUGAGUAAUGCCUAGUCAUCUGCCUGGUCGUGGGUGAUAACGUCCUAAAACGGGCGCUAAUACCGCAUACUAUCAUAUGAGCCUAGGUAGGAUUAGCUAGUUGGUAGGGUAAAGGCCUACCAAGCCGACGAUCCGUAACUGGUCUGAGAGGAGGAUCAGCCACAUGGGGACUGAGACACGGUCCAGACUCCUACGGGAGGCAGCAGUGGGGAAUAUUGGACAAUGGGCGAAAGCCUGAUCCAGCCAUGCCGCGUGUGUGAAGAAGGUCGUCGGAUUGUAAAGCACUUUAAGUUGGGAGGCGGUACCAACAGAAUAAGCAACGGCUAACUACGUGCCAGCAGCCGCGGUAAUUC
This 407-nucleotide ribosomal RNA is filed under the name uncultured bacterium. Its description in RNAcentral is "partial 16S ribosomal RNA". It matches the Rfam family "Bacterial small subunit ribosomal RNA", at positions 30 to 526 of the family's 1533-position model. The record is from RNAcentral.